Non-coding RNA from Plectropomus leopardus (leopard coralgrouper), 393 nucleotides. Lineage: Eukaryota; Metazoa; Chordata; Actinopteri; Perciformes; Serranidae. The record is from RefSeq and is a predicted model, not a curated record.
GCCUGUUGUUUCCAAGUUACUUUUUUUUAUUUUCAUUGGUUGCCUGCCUGUUUUUGGAUGCUAGCUGACCUGGACCUCUUGACAUGAUGCUGAUGGCAUGCAAAAAGUCUAAUCAAGGAGGAACAGUAUCACUCCAGCCACUGUGAAGCAUCUGGAUGAGUUACAUCAGCCGACCUUCUAACAAGAACCUGCAUUGAUUUCAAUCCUGAGAGGGCCAUUAAAGCAAGCCAUCCCAGCACAAAGCAAGAAGAGUGGCGGGAUGGUCAAAAAGAAGGCAACGCCAGUGAAUCCACAUCUUCACACUCAACAAGAUGCUCAGUGACUUCAAGUGGGACAUUGUAUGAUUUUUUUUUUUUACACACACACUCACACACACACACACACACACACACA